RNAcentral lists this ribosomal RNA (328 nucleotides) under Protaspa sp. RNAcentral's name for it is "SSU rRNA". The stretch from base 56 to 328 matches the Rfam family "Eukaryotic small subunit ribosomal RNA", at positions 681 to 955 of the family's 1831-position model. Lineage: Eukaryota; Cercozoa; Thecofilosea; Cryomonadida; Protaspidae. The record is from RNAcentral.
GAUUUCUGUGUAGAGAACUCUGGCCCGCCACGGUUACGUGUGUGAGUGCCGGACCGUUACUCUGCCAUCCUUCGUAACUAUCCUCAGCUGCCCUUCACUGGGUGUGUUGAGUGGUGGUACGAUCGUUUACUUUGAAAAAAUUAGAGUGUUUAAAGCAGGCUUUUGCUAUGAAUACAUUAGCAUGGAAUAAUAAUCUAGGACUUCGGUUCUAUUUUGUUGGUUUCUAUAACUGAAGUAAUGAUUGAUAGGGAUAGUUGGGGGUGCUAGUAUUGGCCGGCCAGAGGUGAAAUUCUUGGAUUCGGUCAAGACUAACUUAUGCGAAAGCAUU